This 236-nucleotide long non-coding RNA is filed under the name Elaeis guineensis (African oil palm). RNAcentral's name for it is "long non-coding RNA (EGUI_LNC031430)". Lineage: Eukaryota; Viridiplantae; Streptophyta; Magnoliopsida; Arecales; Arecaceae. The record is from RNAcentral.
UCCGCCUCCACUCGGCUGUUCUCGUUCACCUCGGUCUGAGGCACACCCCAGCAAGAAGGGAAACCCCAGAGAGAAGAAGAGGAAAUGAAGAAAAACUGAUUUUUUCACCUAUGAAUGGACAAUGGAAGACCAGUGAUGAAAGAAAGACCCUUUCGGGGAUUGAAGAGCCACCACCCUCGGGCCUUAGGGUGGGGUCGGAGGAUAAAGAAUGCCCGAAAGAGAGAGAUCCGAGGGUU